CGAACGCUGGCGGCGUGCUUAACACAUGCACGUCGAACGGAAAGGCCCCUUCGGGGGUACUCGAGUGGCGAACAGGUGAGUAACACGUGAGUAACCUGCCCUUGACUUCGGGAUAACUUCAGGAAACUGGGGCUAAUACCGGAUAGGAAUCCUUGCUGCAUGGUGGGGGUUGGAAAGCUUCGGCGGUUUUGGAUGGACUCGCGGCUUAUCAGCUUGUUGGUGGGGUAGUGGCUUACCAAGGCUUUGACGGGUAGCCGGCCUGAGAGGGCGACCGGCCACAUUGGGACUGAGAUACGGCCCAGACUCCUACGGGAGGCAGCAGUGGGGAAUAUUGCACAAUGGGCGGAAGCCUGAUGCAGCAACGCCGCGUGCGGGAUGACGGCCUUCGGGUUGUAAACCGCUUUCAGCAGGGGCGAAGCUUGUGGUGACGGUACCUGCAGAAGAAGCACCGGCUAACUACGUG
RNAcentral lists this ribosomal RNA (463 nucleotides) under uncultured bacterium. Its description in RNAcentral is "partial 16S ribosomal RNA". It matches the Rfam family "Bacterial small subunit ribosomal RNA", at positions 30 to 507 of the family's 1533-position model. The record is from RNAcentral.